This is an RNA transcript of Sesamum indicum (sesame), 3425 nucleotides long. It is a transcript of the gene named chloride channel D, with no coding region annotated. NCBI's taxonomy places the organism in Eukaryota, Viridiplantae, Streptophyta, Magnoliopsida, Lamiales, Pedaliaceae. The record is from RefSeq and is a predicted model, not a curated record.
UAAAUCCAAAACAAAGUAAAAAACACACACGAAGAAAAAGAGGGAGAGAAGAAACGCAUUAUUCAUUGGCUGCCACCGUCUCUCUCUCUUCACCGCUAAGAAUUCUACGACGUAACACGCAAUCUUUUUCUUUCAUUUUUUUUUUCUUGUGAUCACGUUCUUGCAACUUCUCUAAUCUCUUGAGUUUUACCGGUGCUUUGAGUAGUAUAAUUCUCUGAAAAUUGCCCCAAGAAUUCGUUUUGUGUCUGGUAGCAUUUGUUUUAGGGUUUUAAUUUGAUCUGGUAAAGGGCUUUCCUUUUAGUAUUUUGGUUUUGCCAAUUCACGUAAUUUCUCAGGGGUUUCCUACGGAUCUCAUAGUAUUAGUGAGGGAUUGGGUUUGAUCAAGUUAAGUGCUUGCCGCUACGAAGAAACUUGUAUAUAGAGGGAGAGAGAUGUUAUCGAAUCAUCUGCAGAAUGGAAUGGACACCGCAAAGUUGAUGUGGUCGCGACUGCCGAAGUCGGAGGUGGAGGCGGAAGCAGAUGGGUCUACUGCCGACGAAGUCGGUCGUUAUAAGAAGAACGAUGGAAUCGCUGUUGAAAGCCUCGAUUAUGAAGUCAUUGAGAAUUGCGCGUACAGACAAGAGCAGGCAAAAAGGGGGAAGAUUUAUAGGGCAUAUACUGUCUUGGUAAAGUGGAUUUUGGCAUUGCUUAUUGGGACAGGCACUGCACUAGCUGCUGUUUUCAUCAAUAUUUCUGUUGAGAAUUUUGCGGGAUGGAAGUACUCUUUGACAUUCAAUAUAAUUCAGAAGUCGUACUUUGCUGGAUUUUUGGUAUAUAUGUUGAUCAACUUGGCUCUAGUGUUAUCUUCUGCAUGGAUCAUCACACAGUUUGCACCGGCAGCUGCAGGAUCAGGAAUCCCUGAAAUCAAGGGUUAUUUAAAUGGAAUUGACACACAUGGUAUUCUUCUAUUCAGAACUUUAAUAGGAAAGAUUUUUGGUAGCAUAGGAUCUGUGGGAGGUGGCUUAGCCCUUGGUAAAGAAGGUCCACUUGUACAUAUUGGUGCUUGUAUUGCUUCAUUGCUUGGACAAGGUGGAUCCACAAAAUAUCAUCUGCGCUCAAGAUGGCUUCAAAUUUUUACCAGUGAACGAGAUCGCCGUGAUCUUGUCACAUGUGGAUGUGCAGCAGGCGUGGCUGCUGCUUUUAGAGCUCCAGUUGGUGGUGUGUUGUUUGCACUAGAAGAAGUUACAUCAUGGUGGAGGAGUCAGCUCAUGUGGCGUGUCUUUUUUACAUCUGCCAUUGUAGCUGUUGUUGUACGUUCGGCAAUGGGAUGGUGUAAGAGUGGAAAGUGCGGACAUUUUGGCGAUGGAGGUUUCAUUAUAUGGGACAUCUCAGGUGGUCAAGAAGAUUACUCAUUUCAGGAGUUGUUGCCAAUGGCAGUUAUUGGUGUUAUUGGGGGUCUUCUUGGGGCACUUUUUAAUCAGCUUACUUAUUAUAUAGCCUAUUGGCGUCGCAAUUAUUUGCACAAGAGGGGGAAUCGUGUCAAAGUUGUUGAAGUGUGUAUUGUCUCUGUGAUAACCUCCGUUAUUUCAUUUGGAUUACCACUUUUCAAGAAAUGCACUCCUUGCCCUGAUACAGAUGCCAAUUCCGGUAUUGAAUGUCCACGGCGGCCAGGGAUGUACGGCAAUUAUGUCAAUUUUUAUUGUGGUGAAAAGGAAUAUAAUGAUCUUGCAACUAUAUUCUUCAACACUCAGGAUGAUGCCAUCAGAAAUUUGUUCAGUGCCAAAACAAUUCAUGAAUUCAGUGCGCAGAGCUUACUGACGUUUUUGGUUAUGUUUUACUCCUUAGCAGUUGUCACUUUUGGUACUGCCGUUCCAGCUGGUCAAUUUGUUCCUGGCAUAAUGAUUGGUUCAACUUAUGGGCGGCUUGUUGGCAUGUUUGUCGUGAGCUUUUACCAGAAGCUGAAUAUUGAAGAAGGAACAUAUGCUCUCUUAGGUGCGGCAUCUUUUCUUGGAGGCUCGAUGCGGAUGACUGUUUCCCUUUGUGUGAUUAUGGUUGAGAUCACAAAUAACUUGAAGCUUCUACCUCUCAUCAUGCUGGUUCUUCUUAUAUCAAAGGCAGUUGGUGAUGCUUUCAAUGAAGGCUUGUAUGAAGAGCAAGCUCGACUACGAGGCAUUCCUCUAUUGGAAUCAAGACCAAAAUAUCAAAUGAGAAAUAUUACGGCAAAGGAGGCUUGUGGAAAUCAGCAGGUUGUCUAUUUUCCUCGUGUUGUGAAGGUUAUGGAUGUACUUUCUAUUUUGAAGGGCAACAAUCACAACGGCUUUCCUGUCAUUGAUCACACAAGAAGUGGGGAGACGCUUGUAAUAGGCCUCAUAUUGAGAAGUCAUUUGCUGGUACUGUUGCAGUCAAAGGUUGAUUUUCAACACAGUCCAUUGCCCUUCAGUUCAAGAGAUGGACCAAUACCAAUCAGGCAUAAUCUCACGGAAUUUGUCAAGCCUGUUUCUAGCAAGGGAUUGUCCAUACAUGACAUUCACCUAACCCCUGAUGAUCUGGAAAUGUACAUUGACCUUGCUCCAUUUUUAAAUCCCUCUCCUUACGUUGUUCCUGAGGAUAUGUCAUUAACCAAGGUAUAUAACCUUUUCCGGCAGUUGGGGUUAAGGCAUUUACUUGUUGUUCCGCAUGCUUCUCGUGUUGUUGGAAUGAUUACAAGGAAGGAUUUAUUAAUUGAGGAUAAUGAAGACAUAGCUGGUGUAGAGCUUCAAACCACUAGUGUAAGCAGGGAUCAUCAAGGUGACAGAAGCCUGUCGAGGGGGAAACCAGACGCCGAACAACCGCUGCUCGAUAUGGUCUUCUAGUUUGAAAAUUGUUAGGACUAUAUGAGGUUCAACCACAUCUGUCAUCAAAGGUUAUUGCUCGUCUCCCGAACACUUCAACUCUUCGAUAUAAGAAAAGGUGUUCACUGUAAACUAAAUCAACUGCAAAAUGCCAUUGCCGUAGACAGCCUCUCGCUCUCCAAGCUCUCUCUCUCUCUCUCUCGCACAUAGCCCGCGCCCACCACUGUCAUAGACGCCCCAACCCUCGUCAAUGGUGACCUCUGCCCCAACACCAACAGUGACCACCAAAAGAACUAUCCCUACCAUUCGACACCCGGCCCCUGCCUACCUCCAGAUCUAUGGGCACCUUCGGUUUCAUCUCCACCACAGCACCCGCCCACAGAACAAGGCAAAGGCUGGUCAUUUGGUAACUGCCCGGGUGGGUUUCAGCUAAUUCAAAUGUAAGGCCAAAUAGAUAAAACGGUUGCCUGAUUAUAUCCAUAUUUUGGGGGAGCAGAUUAGAUGAGGAGUUUAAUGUCUGUAAGUUUAUGGAGUAAUUUACUAACCACCCCUAUGAAUGAGUAUAAUUAUCCAUUAGACCCCACUUUACUGAAAUAAAAUCUCCCCUUCAGCUUU